Bos taurus (domestic cattle) is the source of this 441-nucleotide long non-coding RNA. NCBI's taxonomy places the organism in Eukaryota, Metazoa, Chordata, Mammalia, Artiodactyla, Bovidae. The record is from Ensembl.
GCAAGAAUACUGGAGUGGGUUGUCAUUUUCUUCUCCAGGUGAUCUUCCCCACCCAGGGAUCAAAGCAGUGUCUCCUGUAUGGGCCGGAGGAUUCUUUACCACUGAGCUACCAGGGAAGCCCAAUACUUUCGGUCACCCAUGAGUGGGUUCCCAACCACUGGACCACCAGAGAAGUCUCCAGCAAAACACUCUUAAAAAGGAUGCAGUCACUCCAUUUAUACCAAGUUCCUGGGAAGAGACUGACUGGCCCAGAUUGAGUGAGGGACUAACCCUGUCUACAGUCAUGCCGGAGGAGGCAGUCACACGGCACACAGUGGCCAUCAGAGCCCUCUGGAGACAGAGAAAGCAUUCUCAGGAAAGCAGAGCUCACCAGACCAUGAAAUAGGCUCUCUGUAGCAUGGAGGGUCUGACCCACCUCAAGGGCUAUAGGGAGGCUAAUAU